RNAcentral lists this ribosomal RNA (220 nucleotides) under uncultured bacterium. RNAcentral's name for it is "partial 16S ribosomal RNA". It matches the Rfam family "Bacterial small subunit ribosomal RNA", at positions 1281 to 1500 of the family's 1533-position model. The record is from RNAcentral.
AUAGAUCUCAGUUCGGACUGUAGGCUGCAACUCGCCUACACGAAGUUGGAAUUGCUAGUAAUCGUGGAUCAGCAUGCCACGGUGAAUACGUUCCCGGGUCUUGUACACACCGCCCGUCACACCAUGGGAGUCGGUAACACCCGAAGUCGGUAGCCUAACCGUAAGGAGGGCGCCGCCGAAGGUGGGAUUGAUGACUGGGGUAAAGUCGUAACAAGGUACC